Molecule: ribosomal RNA, 750 nt
Filed under: Salmonella enterica
Lineage: Bacteria; Pseudomonadati; Pseudomonadota; Gammaproteobacteria; Enterobacterales; Enterobacteriaceae
Also listed under: 1 other name
Description: partial 23S ribosomal RNA
Rfam family: Bacterial large subunit ribosomal RNA
Source: RNAcentral
GUGAAGAUGCAGUGUACCCGCGGCAAGACGGAAAGACCCCGUGAACCUUUACUAUAGCUUGACACUGAACAUUGAGCCUUGAUGUGUAGGAUAGGUGGGAGGCUUUGAAGUGUGGACGCCAGUCUGCAUGGAGCCGACCUUGAAAUACCACCCUUUAAUGUUUGAUGUUCUAACGUGGACCCGUGAUCCGGGUUGCGGACAGUGUCUGGUGGGUAGUUUGACUGGGGCGGUCUCCUCCUAAAGAGUAACGGAGGAGCACGAAGGUUGGCUAAUCCUGGUCGGACAUCAGGAGGUUAGUGCAAUGGCAUAAGCCAGCUUGACUGCGAGCGUGACGGCGCGAGCAGGUGCGAAAGCAGGUCAUAGUGAUCCGGUGGUUCUGAAUGGAAGGGCCAUCGCUCAACGGAUAAAAGGUACUCCGGGGAUAACAGGCUGAUACCGCCCAAGAGUUCAUAUCGACGGCGGUGUUUGGCACCUCGAUGUCGGCUCAUCACAUCCUGGGGCUGAAGUAGGUCCCAAGGGUAUGGCUGUUCGCCAUUUAAAGUGGUACGCGAGCUGGGUUUAGAACGUCGUGAGACAGUUCGGUCCCUAUCUGCCGUGGGCGCUGGAGAACUGAGGGGGGCUGCUCCUAGUACGAGAGGACCGGAGUGGACGCAUCACUGGUGUUCGGGUUGUCAUGCCAAUGGCACUGCCCGGUAGCUAAAUGCGGAAGAGAUAAGUGCUGAAAGCAUCUAAGCACGAAACUUGCCCCGA